Long non-coding RNA from Macadamia integrifolia, 344 nucleotides. RefSeq lists it as uncharacterized. The transcript is spliced from 3 exons. The record is from RefSeq and is a predicted model, not a curated record. NCBI's taxonomy places the organism in Eukaryota, Viridiplantae, Streptophyta, Magnoliopsida, Proteales, Proteaceae.
GCACUAUACAUCUAUCUAUCUAUCUAUCUAUCUAUCUAUAAAAGGGCCGUAAACUCACCAAGUCCAACCAGAUCAGUCAGAGAGACUCGUCGAUCCAAGCAUCUAGCUGGUCCCCUUUCCUUUUGUUGAGUAGCAAAAUUGAGGCAUGUGGAGUUGUUUAUGUGGUGGCCAUUCUAUAACCAUUGUUGGAUGAUCAUGCAUGGAGGUCAGGUGCUAUGUCCUGUGAAAUCCACUAUCUUCUCAUGUGAUCCACAAUAUCUGGGGCUUGACUUGAAGAGACUUUGGUAGACUUCAAUUUUGGUGCCCUUUAGAACAAAAGUGCAGAAAGCAUCAGAAAGUGGAAA